Non-coding RNA from Citrobacter rodentium ICC168, 152 nucleotides. The record is from Rfam. Lineage: Bacteria; Pseudomonadati; Pseudomonadota; Gammaproteobacteria; Enterobacterales; Enterobacteriaceae.
UGCUGUCGUUGACAGCGCCCAACGCUUCACAACCUGAAAGAAGCGCCUGUUAUCAGGACGGUUGAGCCGUUUACCAGUGCAGAACUCUGCAAACACCGGGUCGCAGAACAUCGCGACGGAGGCCCGAGUUUUUACAACUGUGCCAGAGUACU